Molecule: transfer RNA, 69 nt
Filed under: Diadasia sphaeralcearum affinis
Lineage: Eukaryota; Metazoa; Arthropoda; Insecta; Hymenoptera; Apidae
Description: tRNA-Leu
Source: RNAcentral
UUUAAUAUGGCAGAUAAGUGCGAUGGAAUUAAGAUCCAUAAAUUUAGUUAUAUUAAACUUUUAUUAAAA